AAAAAGCGGAGGAAAAGAAACUAACAAGGUACCCGCUGGAUUAAGCAUAUCAAUAAGCGGAGGAAAAGAAACCAACAGGGAUUCCCUUAGUAACGGCGAGCGAAAAGGGAUGAGCCCAGCAUGUAAAUCUCCGGUUUCCGGCGAAUUGUAGUCUGGAGUAGCAACUCCUGGUGCCGUGCCGGCCCAAGCAUCUUGGAAUAGAUCGCCUCAGAGGGUGAGAGCCCCGUAGGUCGGUACGAGCUCCUACACGGAGUGCUCACGCAGAGUCGGGUUGUUUGGGAAUGCAGCCCCAAUUGGGUGGUAAACCCCAUCUAAGGCUAAAUACCUGUGGGAGACCGAUAGCAAAAAAGUACCUCGAGGGAACGAUGAAAAGACCGCUGGCAAGCGAGUGAAAGAGUGCAUGAAAUUGUAUAGUGGGAAGGGAUGGCCUGGCGUAUUGCCCGCGGGUAUACACUGCUCUUUGAGCUCUUGAAUACACCGUGGGCUGGCUGGUGCCGACACCUGCGCUUGCAAAUCCCCAAACUAAGGUGUUUGGCUCUUCAAGCGCGGGUGUUGAGGUUGAUCGUCGCUUUGUUUUAAACUGCGUCGACAUAGCACCAGCUGAAGCCAGUCCAUCUACCCGUCUGAAAACACGGAAA
RNAcentral lists this ribosomal RNA (638 nucleotides) under Cladophora sp. ZZ-2016. RNAcentral describes it as "eukaryotic LSU rRNA". It matches the Rfam family "Eukaryotic large subunit ribosomal RNA", at positions 1 to 667 of the family's 3401-position model. The record is from RNAcentral. Lineage: Eukaryota; Viridiplantae; Chlorophyta; Ulvophyceae; Cladophorales; Cladophoraceae.